CGGACGAACGCUGGCGGCGUGCCUAACACAUGCAAGUCGAGCGGAGAUAUAUGGAAGGUUUACCGGAAAUAUAUCUUAGCGGCGGACGGGUGAGUAACGCGUGGGCAACCUGCCUCAUACAGGGGGAUAACACAGGGAAACUUGUGCUAAUACCGCAUGAAAUCAUAGUAUGGCAUCAUACAAUGAUCAAAGGAGCAAUCCGGUAUGAGAUGGGCCCGCGUCCGAUUAGCUAGUUGGUGAGGUAACGGCUCACCAAGGCGACGAUCGGUAGCCGAACUGAGAGGUUGAUCGGCCACAUUGGGACUGAGACACGGCCCAGACUCCUACGGGAGGCAGCAGUGGGGAAUAUUGCGCAAUGGGGGAAACCCUGACGCAGCAACGCCGCGUGAAGGAAGAAGGCCUUCGGGUUGUAAACUUCUUUGAUAGGGGACGAUAAUGACGGUACCCUAAAAACAAGCCACGGCUAACUACGUG
Molecule: ribosomal RNA, 474 nt
Filed under: uncultured bacterium
Lineage: Bacteria
Description: bacterial SSU rRNA
Rfam family: Bacterial small subunit ribosomal RNA
Source: RNAcentral